AUUACUAUCUAAAAUUUUUUAAUAAAUAUUUUUCUUUAAAUAAUAGAUAAUAAGAAUUAUUAAUAAAAAAAAAAAAGGAAAAUAAAAUUAGAACACUUCAUGUUUCCUCUCUCCCUCACGUUACCCUCAUUUCCAUCACCAGCUACCCACUCCAUCAGUCUCUCUCAGCGAAAAUACAAAAAGAAAAGAAUAAGGUUUUGUCCGUUGGAGGUUGCUAUAUAUUACUCUCUCUGCUGACUUCACAAAGGGGACCAACAGACACUAACUUACUCUCUCUCUCUCAAAAAAUAAAGAAAAGGAUUAAAAAUAGAAAAAGAGAAGAAGCCUCUGGGUCUUUCCCUGAGCGCCUCACCCUUAACCAUUACCAUUCCUCUUCUUCAAAUACUCCAUUGUCUUCCACCCUUUCACCACACUAACACCUCAUUUCGCUUACG
Molecule: long non-coding RNA, 434 nt
Filed under: Lathyrus oleraceus (garden pea)
Lineage: Eukaryota; Viridiplantae; Streptophyta; Magnoliopsida; Fabales; Fabaceae
Description: Pisum sativum (pea) long non-coding RNA (PSAT_LNC012020)
Source: RNAcentral